CCUCCUGGGUGUACCUAGUAUUUAUAAGACCCGUCACCCGCACCACUUCUAUCACUGGUAUCUCAAACUUUAUAACGUUAGUCAACCAGACUGUGGAAGCCUCACCACGGGUUCAAGUUGCGAAUCUCAAAAAUUCUGAUCGUUAAAAUCAAAGAAGAUGUGAUCAUAUUAACAUGAUCGGGGUUUAUAACGGGACCUGAAGUUCCUUUCAAUGACAAAGCAGACACUCUUAGUGCUCCUAUUUCAAUAAAAAUGAAAAUAAAAAUUCCCAACGAGUGUAUCUACAUUAAAAUGUAGCUGACGUUGACUGUUUUUACCGAUGGUUCAUUCGUCCGCAGAUAAAACAAUGCAAAACUAACAGCUAUUCAUGAUUAGAUACUUUAUGCAGUAAUUUAAAAUUGAUGUCCGUGCGGUUACCGGUAUUGACGAAUAGUACCGACCUUUAGCUAUCUAUGGGUGUCGUAAAAGGUGACUAAUGAUCCUAAAGGGGGGAAAUCAAGACCAUUCGGUGGAUUUUUCGACUCCAGUUGGGCUACAAUGUUUUUGUAAUAACUUUAGUGUAUAAUUUAGAAUUGUAGUAUUUAUAUAUAUCUUUAUAUGUAUUAAUUCGGAACUCUCUCUCGAUACCGUUUAUGUAUUUGGAAUUACGCAUAUCGUUUUGUAUUUACUACUGACAUAAUAGUCCUACCCGGAUUGCGAGUUGUGUGACUCGUAGUGCUCUUAGAUGAAUAUCGUUAGAGCCAGGUUGGGAGGUGGAGCCCCACGGGGUUCCCUGUGGAUUCAGACCGGAUUCAAUCGGAUGAGAAAUAUCUGUACACCCCCCCUCCUCUGCACCUUGUUGUUUAUUGUAUCUCUUUCUAUUUUCAAAUACUUACAUUUUGUUUAAUUGUCUGAUUUUAGGUUAUGAUUCGAUGUACCUUUGUUAAAAUCGUCUGCCUAGUUAGGUUUUAUUUUAUUAUAGAUUAAGUUCCUUUAGUUUGGGGUGUAAGUGGCUCUACCUAGACCUUUUGAGCCAAAGCCAACCUCUCCUGCACGCGGUGCACCCUGCCGAUUAGCGAACGAGGCUCUGGCGGAGACGCACUGGAACCAUCGUACCAGUCACCGACCUACAUCUUAGGCGAAUCCAGCCAAUACAUAAAAGUUCCAGUUUUGCGGUGCAAGUCUCCAUUAAUUCUACUUCGACUUAAAUUCAUUAAGCUUAAUAACCUUGUAGAUUAGUUUCAUAUUGAACUCAUAAUAAUAUUAGGCAUUAAGAUAUGGAUGUGGGAUUAUAUUCAGGAAACGGAUUACAUGUACCAUUGAUAUUUUCAUUGGGAUUAAAAACUAAAGUGAUAAUGUAGAAUAGAUUUGAUUGAAAUCUAAUUGAUCUUAGUAGUUAUUUUUGCUUCAUAACUUUUGCAUAUAUUUAGUAUUCAAUGUUUAUUCAUAUUAGUACUAUAUUCUAACAUUUAACCUGUUCUCUCAACAUUAUAUUGGUGUGUAUUAAAA
Long non-coding RNA from Bombyx mori (domestic silkworm), 1488 nucleotides. RefSeq lists it as uncharacterized. The transcript is spliced from 3 exons. NCBI's taxonomy places the organism in Eukaryota, Metazoa, Arthropoda, Insecta, Lepidoptera, Bombycidae. The record is from RefSeq and is a predicted model, not a curated record.